AUUGAACGCUGGCGGCAGGCCUAACACAUGCAAGUCGAGCGGUAGAGAGGUGCUUGCAUCUCUUGAGAGCGGCGGACGGGUGAGUAAUGCCUAGGAAUCUGCCUAGUGGUGGGGGAUAACGUUCGGAAACGGACGCUAAUACCGCAUACGUCCUACGGGAGAAAGCGGGGGAUCUUCGGACCUCGCGCCAUUAGAUGAGCCUAGGUCGGAUUAGCUAGUUGGUGAGGUAAUGGCUCACCAAGGCGACGAUCCGUAACUGGUCUGAGAGGAUGAUCAGUCACACUGGAACUGAGACACGGUCCAGACUCCUACGGGAGGCAGCAGUGGGGAAUUUUGGACAAUGGGCGCAAGCCUGAUCUAGCCAUGCCGCGUGAGCGAUGAAGGCCUUAGGGUUGUAAAGCUCUUUCAGAUGGAAGAUGAUGACGGUACCAUCAGAAGAAGCCCCGGCUAACUCCGUGCCAGCAGCCGCGGUAA
This 474-nucleotide ribosomal RNA is filed under the name uncultured bacterium. RNAcentral's name for it is "bacterial SSU rRNA". It matches the Rfam family "Bacterial small subunit ribosomal RNA", at positions 30 to 523 of the family's 1533-position model. The record is from RNAcentral.